UACAGAGGGUGCAAGCGUUAAUCGGAAUUACUGGGCGUAAAGCGUGCGCAGACGGUUAUCUAAGUCGGAUGUGAAAUCCCCGGGCUCAACCUGGGAAUUGCAUUCGAGACUGAAUAGCUAGGGUACGGAAGAGGGAAGCGGAAUUUCAGGUGUAGCAGUGAAAUGCGUAGAUAUCUGAAGGAACAUCAGUGGCGAAGGCGGCUUCCUGGUCCAGUACCGACGUUCAGGCACGAAAGCGUGGGGAGCAAACAGG
Molecule: ribosomal RNA, 253 nt
Filed under: uncultured bacterium
Lineage: Bacteria
Description: partial 16S ribosomal RNA
Rfam family: Bacterial small subunit ribosomal RNA
Source: RNAcentral